This 484-nucleotide ribosomal RNA is filed under the name uncultured bacterium. Its description in RNAcentral is "partial 16S ribosomal RNA". It matches the Rfam family "Bacterial small subunit ribosomal RNA", at positions 30 to 507 of the family's 1533-position model. The record is from RNAcentral.
AUUGAACGCUGGCGGCAUGCUUUACACAUGCAAGUCGAACGGUAACAGGGUGCUUGCACCGCUGACGAGUGGCGAACGGGUGAGUAAUGCAUCGGAAUGUACCGUGUAAUGGGGGAUAGCUCGGCGAAAGCCGGAUUAAUACCGCAUACGCCCUGAGGGGGAAAGUGGGGGACCGAAAGGCCUCACGUUAUACGAGCAGCCGAUGUCUGAUUAGCUAGUUGGUGAGGUAAAGGCUCACCAAGGCGUCGAUCAGUAGCGGGUCUGAGAGGAUGAUCCGCCACACUGGGACUGAGACACGGCCCAGACUCCUACGGGAGGCAGCAGUGGGGAAUUUUGGACAAUGAGCGCAAGCCUGAUCCAGCCAUGCCGCGUGUCUGAAGAAGGCCUUCGGGUUGUAAAGGACUUUUGUCCGGGAGCAAAUCCUAGUGGUUAAUAACCGCUGGGUCUGAGAGUACCGGAAGAAUAAGCACCGGCUAACUACGUG